GUCUACUGCUAUGUUACUCUGAACAAGACCGAUUCCAUCUGAUCUUAAAAUCAAGCAGGGUCAGGCCUGGUUAGUACUUGGAUGGGAGCUCACCUAAGAAGCCCAGGUGCUGUAGGCA
This 118-nucleotide ribosomal RNA is filed under the name Pteropus alecto (black flying fox). The record is from RNAcentral. Lineage: Eukaryota; Metazoa; Chordata; Mammalia; Chiroptera; Pteropodidae.